ACAAUGAAGAGUUUGAUCCUGGCUCAGGAUGAACGCUAGCUACAGGCUUAACACAUGCAAGUCGAGGGGCAUCAGGAAGAAAGCUUGCUUUCUUUGCUGGCGACCGGCGCACGGGUGAGUAACACGUAUCCAACCUGCCCUUUACUCGGGGAUAGCCUUUCGAAAGAAAGAUUAAUACCCGAUAGCAUAAUGAUUCCGCAUGGUUUCAUUAUUAAAGGAUUCCGGUAAAGGAUGGGGAUGCGUUCCAUUAGGUUGUUGGUGGGGUAACGGCCCACCAAGCCUUCGAUGGAUAGGGGUUCUGAGAGGAAGGUCCCCCACAUUGGAACUGAGACACGGUCCAAACUCCUACGGGAGGCAGCAGUGAGGAAUAUUGGUCAAUGGGCGCUAGCCUGAACCAGCCAAGUAGCGUGAAGGAUGAAGGCUCUAUGGGUCGUAAACUUCUUUUAUAUAAGAAUAAAGUGCAGUAUGUAUACUGUUUUGUAUGUAUU
This 488-nucleotide ribosomal RNA is filed under the name Bacteroides fragilis. RNAcentral's name for it is "bacterial SSU rRNA". It matches the Rfam family "Bacterial small subunit ribosomal RNA", at positions 1 to 479 of the family's 1533-position model. The record is from RNAcentral. Lineage: Bacteria; Pseudomonadati; Bacteroidota; Bacteroidia; Bacteroidales; Bacteroidaceae.